GCGGGCUUGUUUACGGCCCGACUGCGCAGGCGUGCUCACCUGGCGUGCUCCACCCGGCUGGGCGUCCUCAGGCUCCUCCCCUGGGCGUGGCCUCCGGGCAGCCCGGCUGCUUCCCAGGUGAUGUCGGUUCCAGCCGGUGGGGUCUAGUUGACGGUUCCGCAGCCACCAGGACCAACGGAAAGCCGAUCAGGGGGAACCGCGGCGGGGCUGGUGUCAGGAGCCUGAGGUGAACUUGAGGGUGCCUCCUCAGCGGUCUCCCCCCCUGCCCUGAGGGGCGCCGGGACCCCAAAGAGCGGAGGAAGAGCGCCACCCCGACUGCCACCGCUUCGGGGCCAGCACGCGGGGUACCCUACAGGGAGCGCGGAUGCCCCUGUGUUCGGGCGGGGACGGCUCCACCCCUCCUGGGCCCUCCCUUCGGGACGGGGACUGUCCCGCCCAGAGAGAGUGCUGACUACCCGCGCGACCGUCUGGAUCCCCGGUCAGGAAGCAAGCCCCUUUGAAGCCUCCUUGCCGCCGUUUCUGAGAAGCAGGGCACCUGUUCACUGGUACCAAGAAAAGGCCCAAGUGUUUCCCUGGCAUCAGGUGGUGUCUGGAUCCACCACUCCACACUGUCUCUGGAAACAGCCCUUCCACGUCUCUGCAUUCCCUGUUACUGUGUUGCUGGCCUUCCGACGGAGCCAAGGUGCAUGGCAACACCUCUACGAGGAUCUGUAGCCAUUUAUGUUGCUUAGGCUACUGCCACAGGACAAAAGAAUGAAAGAGGAGAAAGCAGCAGGAGAGAGAAGUGAACCAAAUUUUGAAUGCUGGGAGCAGAUGGACAGGUGGUGACUGACCUUCCCUCAAGCAUCUCUGGAGCCACAGCCCCUAGCCGGCCA
Rhinopithecus roxellana (golden snub-nosed monkey) is the source of this 875-nucleotide long non-coding RNA. RefSeq lists it as uncharacterized. The transcript has 3 exons. Lineage: Eukaryota; Metazoa; Chordata; Mammalia; Primates; Cercopithecidae. The record is from RefSeq and is a predicted model, not a curated record.